Molecule: ribosomal RNA, 690 nt
Filed under: Mucor sp. F752
Lineage: Eukaryota; Fungi; Mucoromycota; Mucoromycetes; Mucorales; Mucoraceae
Description: eukaryotic LSU rRNA
Rfam family: Eukaryotic large subunit ribosomal RNA
Source: RNAcentral
GCGGAGGAAAAGAAAAUAACAAUGAUUUCCCUAGUAACGGCGAGUGAAGAGGAAAGAGCUCAAAUUGGAAACUGUUUGGCUUAGCUAAACCGUAUUGUAAACUGUAGAAACAUUUUCCUGGCACGCCGGAUUAAUAAGUCCUUUGGAACAAGGCAUCAUGGAGGGUGAGAAUCCCGUCUUUGAUCUGAGUAGUUGUCUUUUGUGAUAUGUUUUCAAAGAGUCAGGUUGUUUGGGAAUGCAGCCUAAAUUGGGUGGUAAAUCUCACCUAAAGCUAAAUAUUUGCGAGAGACCGAUAGCGAACAAGUACCGUGAGGGAAAGAUGAAAAGAACUUUGAAAAGAGAGUUAAACAGUAUGUGAAAUUGUUAAAAGGGAACCGUUUGGAGCCAGACUGGUUUGACUGUAAUCAACCUAGAAUUCGUUUUGGGUGCACUUGCAGUCUAUACCUGCCAACAACAGUUUGAUUUGGAGGACAAAAUUAAUAGGAAUGUAGCCUCUCGAGGUGUUAUAGCCUACUAUCAUACUCUGGAUUGGACUGAGGAACGCAGCGAAUGCCUUUAGGCAAGAUUGCUGGGUGCUUUCGCUAAUAAAUGUUAGAAUUUCUGCUUCGGGUGGUGCUAAUGUUUAAAGGAGGAACACAUCUAGUAUAUUUUUUAUUCGCUUAGGUUGUUGGCUUAAUGACUCUAAAUGAC